AAUCAACGCUGGCGGCGUGCCUAACACAUGCAAGUCGAACGCGAAAACCCCGAAAGGGGGUUAGUAGAGUGGCAAACGGGUGAGUAACACGUGGGUGACCUACCUUCGAGUGGGGGAUAACGUCCCGAAAGGGACGCUAAUACCGCAUAACAUCCUGCCUUUGAAGAGGUGGAGAUCAAAGCUGGGGACCGGCAAGGCCUAGCGCUCAAAGAGGGGCCCGCGCCUGAUUAGCUAGUUGGUGGGGUAANGGCUCACCAAGGCAACGAUCAGUAUCCGGCCUGAGAGGGCGGACGGACACACUGGGACUGAGACACGGCCCAGACUCCUACGGGAGGCAGCAGUGGGGAAUUGUUCGCAAUGGGCGCAAGCCUGACGACGCAACGCCGCGUGGAGGAUGAAGACC
RNAcentral lists this ribosomal RNA (403 nucleotides) under uncultured bacterium. Its description in RNAcentral is "bacterial SSU rRNA". It matches the Rfam family "Bacterial small subunit ribosomal RNA", at positions 29 to 416 of the family's 1533-position model. The record is from RNAcentral.